Molecule: long non-coding RNA, 979 nt
Organism: Bombus impatiens (common eastern bumble bee)
Lineage: Eukaryota; Metazoa; Arthropoda; Insecta; Hymenoptera; Apidae
Exons: 2
Source: RefSeq, a predicted model, not a curated record
CUAUUAGAUAAAAUACAAGAUACGAUAAAACAAUGCUGAUUUUUACAGAAUGCGGAUCAUCGAAUUUUUGAUUUUGGUUUUCCGUAAUAGAAUUUCGAUGGCGCGGUUGAAACACAACGGGCACUAAAUACAGUUUGUAGCGAGAUGAUCGCGAUUUUCCUUCAUACUGUCCUUCUAAGAAUAACGAACGUCUAACGAAUAAAUAAAAAGUUAAUCGCGUAGCGAGAACGUUUAAUAGUUCACAACGAGGCUAUCGUAGUUCACGAAAAGUUCGUCAGAAGUUAACAAGUUUCAAAGUAAAAGAGGAGCGUCGAUAUUGCACACUUUUACAAAUUCUCAUUCUUCGUGUACUGCACGAAACGAGCGAUAAACCAGCGUCGAUUUCAUGAACAAAACGAGCAAUAAAUACAACAGACGACUACGGGAACGGGUUUCUUAAAUUCGUUUUGAACGUUACAGACCUCUUGAAACGAUCAGACCAGAUCGAUCUAGGAUAGACGAACGUUAUCUCAGGCGUGGAUCAUCCGAGUGAUCGAGACUGCGUGCAGAUGCGUAUCUCUCAGCGAUCGUCAGAGCGAGGGAAGAGGAUGCGCCAUCAAGUGACGUCAGCGGAAUGCAGAAACUGGCCAAGCAAAUUAAUGGGAUUAGGCUGUUGGUUCGUGCAGAAGGUAAUAUCAAUCAACGUCAUUCUCUAAGCAACAGCAGUAUCUUUCUGUCUCUCUGUGUGUCAAGCGAACAGAUAUCGAAUAGGACGAAACGAAGUAAUUCAGUCUAGUUGGGAUUAUUAAAUGUGCGAUGUAAUAUUGCAGUUAUUUUAUAUUUGGGAUUUUAUAUUUUCUAAUGAUGUCAUUUGAUGGAUGAAAUUGAUAUCAUGCCUAUCCGAAGGAGCAAAACAAAAUUAAUUAAUAAUUAAAGGAAUUAAUGUAACUCUUUUCUUUAGUAUGCAAAUCAGACUAAUAAAAAUAACAUUUCAGUUUUU